GCCUGGAGCAGCAGAGGGGUAAUGCAGGCAGCGGCGAAGCAGCUGACUGGGGACAGUCUGCCACUCGACACAGCGUUAUCGAUGUAAUUACACAAAGGACAAGUUUUCUAUUUGAAAAAAGAGCCAGAGUACAGGAGGCAGCUCCCGCCAAAACAACAGCCGUGUUGGCAGCACCAGUCACUCCUGCUGCUGCUGUUGGUGUCCAGGCAUCCUGGCAUGAGCUGGCUUUAUGGAUCCCAGCUGGGCAGAAUGAAUGAGAAGCCUGCCCCUCUACUGACCCCAGGGAAGUACACAAGAGGCAUCAGUCACUUCCCAGAAACUGUGUCCUUUUAGGAGAACUCUGGCUGGCCGCUACAAGGAGGAGGGGGACCCAAGGGUGAUAAAAGAGCCUGCAGCAUGCCAUGCCCUUCUGUCUGAAACCAUGGACGGUCCACCGGAUGAAGUGCUGGAAAACAAGCCCAGAGCAGGAAGACUUCUGCCAGGUGAACAGGGAGAUUUAACUAGCAGGGUUGCCUCCCUCCUCUCUCCAGCAUAGAAGAUGAUGAAUCCCAGAAUGAUUUCAUGAUUACAUCUUGUCAAAAGAGGGCAGAAUUUAGACCCUUUCUUUAUUAUUAUUUUUUUAAAUAUAAAUUUAUUUAUUUUAAUUGGAG
This 650-nucleotide long non-coding RNA is filed under the name Bos indicus x Bos taurus (hybrid cattle). Its description in RNAcentral is "lncRNA (ENSBIXG00000014540.1)". Lineage: Eukaryota; Metazoa; Chordata; Mammalia; Artiodactyla; Bovidae. The record is from RNAcentral.